UGAAAAUACCAGAAAGCAAGUUAACAGCACAUCUCUUCUGAGGAAACAUAACCGAUUGGACCAGCGGUUUGUUUACAGCUCUCUCAUGUACACACAUGAAUACACACAGGCGCAAACACACCCACACGCUUCCACACACACUCUUGAGAAACAAUCUACAUUCACAUCUAGAACACAAUGUCAUUCAAAUAACCAACGGGUCAACAGGUCUAAUAACCAACAGGUCAGCAGGUCUAACAACCAACAGGUCUAAUAACCAACAGGUCUAAUAUAACCAACAGGUCUAAUAACCAACAGGUCUAAUAUAACCAAAAGGUCUAAUAACAAACAGGUCAGCAGGUCUAACAACCAACAGGUUUAAUAACCAACAGGUCUAAUAUAACCAACAGGUCUAAUAACCAACAGGUCAACAGGUCUAAUAACCAACAGGUCAACAGAUCUAAUAACCAACAGGUCUAAUAACCAACAGGUCAACAAGUCUAAUAACCAACAGGUCAACAGGUCGAAUAACCAACAGGUCAACAGGUCUAAUAACCAACAGGUCAACAGGUCUAAUAACCAACAGGUCGAAUAACCAACAGGUCGAAUAACCAACAGGUCAAAAAACCAACAGGUCAACAGGUCUAAUAACCAUCAGGUCAACAGAUCUAAUAACGAACAGGUCAACAGGUCUAAUAACCAACAGGUCAACAGGUCUAAUAACCAACAGGUCAACAGGUCUAAUAACCAACAGGUCAACAGGUCUAAUAACCAGCAGGUCAACAGGUCUAAUAAC
Long non-coding RNA from Oncorhynchus tshawytscha (Chinook salmon), 775 nucleotides. The record is from Ensembl. Lineage: Eukaryota; Metazoa; Chordata; Actinopteri; Salmoniformes; Salmonidae.